AUACGGAGGGUGCAAGCGUUAUUCGGAAUCACUGGGCGUAAAGGACGCGUAGGCGGGUUGGCAAGUCAGAUGUGAAAUCCUACAGCUCAACUGUAGAACUGCACUUGAAACUACAGACCUAGAGUAUGGAAGGGGCAGAUGGAAUUAGUGGUGUAGGGGUAAAAUCCGUAGAUAUCACUAGGAAUACCGAAAGCGAAGGCGAUCUGCUGGGACAUUACUGACGCUGAGGCGUGAAAGCGUGGGGAGCAAACAGGAUUAGAAACCCCAGUAGUCC
This 274-nucleotide ribosomal RNA is filed under the name uncultured bacterium. RNAcentral's name for it is "partial 16S ribosomal RNA". It matches the Rfam family "Bacterial small subunit ribosomal RNA", at positions 523 to 796 of the family's 1533-position model. The record is from RNAcentral.